Molecule: ribosomal RNA, 462 nt
Filed under: uncultured Alphaproteobacteria bacterium
Lineage: Bacteria; Pseudomonadati; Pseudomonadota; Alphaproteobacteria
Description: bacterial SSU rRNA
Rfam family: Bacterial small subunit ribosomal RNA
Source: RNAcentral
GAGUUUGAUCGUGGCUCAGAGCGAACGCUGGCGGCAGGCUUAACACAUGCAAGUCGAACGAUCCUUCGGGAUAGUGGCGGACGGGUGAGUAACACGUGGGAACGUGCCUUUAGGUUCGGAAUAACUCAGGGAAACUUGAGCUAAUACCGGAUGUGCCCUUCGGGGAAGAUUUAUCGCCUUUAGAGCGGCCCGCGUCUGAUUAGCUAGUUGGUAGGGUAAUGGCCUACCAAGGCGACGAUCAGUAGCUGGUCUGAGAGGAUGAUCAGCCACAUUGGGACUGAGACACGGCCCAAACUCCUACGGGAGGCAGCGGUGGGGAAUCUUGCGCAAUGGGCGAAAGCCUGACGCAGCCAUGCCGCGUGAAUGAUGAAGGUCUUAGGAUUGUAAAAUUCUUUCACCGGGGACGAUAAUGACGGUACCCGGAGAAGAAGCCCCGGCUAACUUCGUGCCAGCAGCAGCCGC